Molecule: ribosomal RNA, 435 nt
Filed under: uncultured bacterium
Lineage: Bacteria
Description: partial 16S ribosomal RNA
Rfam family: Bacterial small subunit ribosomal RNA
Source: RNAcentral
GAUGAACGCUGGCGGUAUGCUUAACACAUGCAAGUCGAACGGACUCUUCGGAGUUAGUGGCGGACGGGUGAGUAACGCGUGAGAAUCUGGCUUUGGGUUCGGGACAACCACUGGAAACGGUGGCUAAUACCGGAUGUGCCGAGAGGUAAAAGAGAAAUUGCCUGAAGAUGAGCUCGCGUCUGAUUAGCUAGUUGGUGAGGUAAAGGCUCACCAAGGCAGCGAUCGGUAGCUGGUCUGAGAGGAUGACCAGCCACACUGGGACUGAGACACGGCCCAGACUCCUACGGGAGGCAGCAGUGGGGAAUUUUCCGCAAUGGGCGAAAGCCUGACGGAGCAAUACCGCGUGAGGGAAGAAGGCUCUUGGGUUGUAAACCUCUUUUCUUAGGGAAGAACAAAAUGACGGUACCUAAGGAAUCAGCAUCGGCUAACUCCGUG